RNAcentral lists this ribosomal RNA (33 nucleotides) under Boronia cymosa. RNAcentral describes it as "partial 26S ribosomal RNA". Lineage: Eukaryota; Viridiplantae; Streptophyta; Magnoliopsida; Sapindales; Rutaceae. RNAcentral also lists the same sequence under 16 other names. The record is from RNAcentral.
CGCGACCCCAGGUCAGGCGGGAUCACCCGCUGA